AACGAACGCUGGCGGCAGGCCUAACACAUGCCAGUCGAGCGCACCCUUCGGGGUGAGCGGCGGACGGGUGAGUAACGCGUGGGAACGUGCCCUUCUCUGCGGAAUAGCCUCGGGAAACUGAGAGUAAUACCGCAUACGCCCUUUGGGGGAAAGAUUUAUCGGAGAAGGAGCGGCCCGCGUUGGAUUAGGUAGUUGGUGGGGUAAUGGCCCACCAAGCCGACGAUCCAUAGCUGGUUUGAGAGGAUGAUCAGCCACACUGGGACUGAGACACGGCCCAGACUCCUACGGGAGGCAGCAGUGGGGAAUCUUAGACAAUGGGGGCAACCCUGAUCUAGCCAUGCCGCGUGAGUGAUGAAGGCCUUAGGGUUGUAAAGCUCUUUCAGCUGGGAAGAUAAUGACGGUACCAGCAGAAGAAGCCCCGGCUAACUCCGUG
RNAcentral lists this ribosomal RNA (433 nucleotides) under uncultured bacterium. RNAcentral's name for it is "partial 16S ribosomal RNA". It matches the Rfam family "Bacterial small subunit ribosomal RNA", at positions 29 to 507 of the family's 1533-position model. The record is from RNAcentral.